UGUCCACGUUUCCUUUCUCUAGGAACUCUUACAGGCCAAACAGGAUCUUCAGGAUCUGCUCAUUGCCAAAGAGGAGCAGGAAGACCUCUUGAGAAAGAGGGAGCGUGAACUCACUGCCCUGAAGGGAGCCCUGAAAGAAGAGGUUUCCAGCCACGACCAGGAGAUGGACAAACUGAAGGAGCAGUAUGACGCCGAGCUGCAGGCCCUGAGGGAGAGUGUGGAGGAAGCAACUAAGAAGGUGUUCACUUCUCAUGCCCCCAGUGCCCUAGGCUUCAUGCUGGAGAGGAGAGCUUAGAAGACAUUCUUCCUUCCCUUGAGGAUCACAGAUGGGGAUGGACUACAUGUAGAGCAGAAUCAACUGGAAAACAACCAGCCCUUGCAAGCUUCCGUACCUCAGCAUGUGCUGUUUCUUUUGUCUGCACUGCCUUUCCCGUCCCUUCUUUGCUUGGUACCAAGCACUUUCUAGCUUUAUGCAUGUCCCCCACGUCGAGUUACAGCUCCCUUACCUCCUCUCCCCUGGCGUUUGGUUCCUAUCUCCAUUAUGGAUAUAUUGUAUUGUACUUUCUUUUUUCACAUCAGUUGCUCAUACUUCAGGUUGAUUGGUUCAACAUUUUGUGUGUGUGUGUGUGUGUGUGUAUUUUAUGAGUAUUUACUUUGGGCCAGACACUAUUAAAUCUAGUGAG
Non-coding RNA from Equus caballus (horse), 683 nucleotides. NCBI's taxonomy places the organism in Eukaryota, Metazoa, Chordata, Mammalia, Perissodactyla, Equidae. The record is from RefSeq and is a predicted model, not a curated record.